GACCUUACCAGGGCUUGACAUCCCGCGAACCUGGUGGAAACACUGGGGUGCCCGCAAGGGAACGCGGAGACAGGUGGUGCAUGGUUGUCGUCAGCUCGUGUCGUGAGAUGUUGGGUUAAGUCCCGCAACGAGCGCAACCCCUGCCCUUAGUUGCCAGCACUUCGGGUGGGCACUCUAAGGGGACUGCCGGUGACAAACCGGAGGAAGGUGGGGAUGACGUCAAAUCAUCAUGCCCCUUAUGCCCUGGGCUACACACGUGCUACAAUGGCCGGUACAAAGGGAUGCGAAGCCGCGAGGCUGAGCGGAUCCCAAAAAGCCGGUCUCAGUUGGGAUCGCAGGCUGAAACUCGCCUGCGUGAAGGCGGAAUCGCUAGUAAUCGCCGGUCAGCACACGGCGGUGAAUACGUUCCCGGGCCUUGUACACACCG
Molecule: ribosomal RNA, 427 nt
Filed under: uncultured bacterium
Lineage: Bacteria
Description: bacterial SSU rRNA
Rfam family: Bacterial small subunit ribosomal RNA
Source: RNAcentral